Molecule: ribosomal RNA, 450 nt
Filed under: Parvimonas micra
Lineage: Bacteria; Bacillati; Bacillota; Tissierellia; Tissierellales; Peptoniphilaceae
Description: bacterial SSU rRNA
Rfam family: Bacterial small subunit ribosomal RNA
Source: RNAcentral
GACGAACGCUGGCGGCGUGCUUAACACAUGCAAGUCGAACGUGAUUUUUAUGGAAAUUCUUUCGGGAAUGGAAAUGAAAUGAAAGUGGCGAACGGGUGAGUAACACGUGAGCAACCUACCUUACACAGGGGGAUAGCCGUUGGAAACGACGAUUAAUACCGCAUGAGACCACAGAAUCGCAUGAUAUAGGGGUCAAAGAUUUAUCGGUGUAAGAAGGGCUCGCGUCUGAUUAGCUAGUUGGAAGGGUAAAGGCCUACCAAGGCGACGAUCAGUAGCCGGUCUGAGAGGAUGAACGGCCCUCAUUGGAACUGAGACACGGUCCAAACUCCUACGGGAGGCAGCAGUGGGGAAUAUUGCACAAUGGGGGGAACCCUGAUGCAGCGACGCCGCGUGAGCGAAGAAGGUUUUCGAAUCGUAAAGCUCUGUCCUAUGAGAAGAUAAUGACGGUAU